CUACGGGAGGCAGCAGUGGGGAAUCUUGCGCAAUGCGCGAAAGCGUGACGCAGCAACACCGCGUGAGGGAAGACGGCCUUCGGGUUGUAAACCUCUUUCAGGAGGGACGAAGGUCCAUCAGUUAAUAGCUGCUUGGACUGACGGUACCUCCAGAAGAAGCUCCGGCUAACUACGUGCCAGCAGCCGCGGUAAUACGUAGGGAGCGAGCGUUGUCCGGAAUCAUUGGGCGUAAAGCGCGCGUAGGCGGCCCGAUAAGUCUGCUGUGAAAGUCAACGGCUCAACCGUUGAAUGCCGGUGGAUACUGGCGGGCUAGAGUACGGAAGAGGCAAGUGGAAUUCCUGGUGUAGCGGUGGAAUGCGCAGAUAUCAGGAGGAACACCGAUAGCGAAGGCAGCUUGCUGGGACGUUACUGACGCUGAGGCGCGAAAGCGUGGGGAGCGAACAGGAUUAGAAACCCGGGUAGUCC
RNAcentral lists this ribosomal RNA (465 nucleotides) under uncultured bacterium. Its description in RNAcentral is "bacterial SSU rRNA". It matches the Rfam family "Bacterial small subunit ribosomal RNA", at positions 339 to 796 of the family's 1533-position model. The record is from RNAcentral.